AUUGAACGCUGGCGGCAGGCUUAACACAUGCAAGUCGAGCGGGGUGAUGGUGCUUGCACUAUCACUUAGCGGCGGACGGAUGAGUAAUGCUUAGGAAUCUGCCCAUUAGUGGGGGACAACAUAGCGAAAGGGAUGCUAAUACCGCAUACGUCCUACGGGUGAAAGCAGGGGAUCACUUGUGACCUUGCGCUAAUAGAUGAUCCUAAUGCGGAUUAGCUAGUUGGUGGGGUAAAGGCCUACCAAGGGGACGAUCUGGAGCGGGUCUGAGAGGAUGAUCCGCCACACUGGGACUGAGACACGGCCCAGACUCCUACGGGAGGCAGCAGUGGGGAAUAUUGGACAAUGGGGGGAACCCUGAUCCAGCCAUGCCGCGUGUGUGAAGAAGGCCUUAUGGUUGUAAAGCACUUUAAGCGAGGAGGAGGCUCUUUUGGUUAAUACCCAAGAUGAGUGGACGUUACUCGCAGAAUAAGCACCGGCUAACUCUGUGCCAGCAGCCGCCGUAA
RNAcentral lists this ribosomal RNA (503 nucleotides) under uncultured bacterium. RNAcentral's name for it is "partial 16S ribosomal RNA". It matches the Rfam family "Bacterial small subunit ribosomal RNA", at positions 30 to 523 of the family's 1533-position model. The record is from RNAcentral.